UGGGGAAUAUUGGACAAUGGGCGCAAGCCUGAUCCAGCAAUGCCGCGUGUGUGAAGAAGGCCUUUUGGUUGUAAAGCACUUUAAGCGAGGAGGAGGCUACUUGGAUUAAUACUCUAGGAUAGUGGACGUUACUCGCAGAAUAAGCACCGGCUAACUCUGUGCCAGCAGCCGCGGUAAUACAGAGGGUGCGAGCGUUAAUCGGAUUUACUGGGCGUAAAGCGUGCGUAGGCGGCUUCUUAAGUCGGAUGUGAAAUCCCUGAGCUUAACUUAGGAAUUGCAUUCGAUACUGGGAAGCUAGAGUAUGGGAGAGGAUGGUAGAAUUCCAGGUGUAGCGGUGAAAUGCGUAGAGAUCUGGAGGAAUACCGAUGGCGAAGGCAGCCAUCUGGCCUAAUACUGACGCUGAGGUACGAAAGCAUGGGGAGCAAACAGG
This 430-nucleotide ribosomal RNA is filed under the name Acidobacteriota bacterium. RNAcentral's name for it is "Acidobacteria bacterium partial 16S ribosomal RNA". It matches the Rfam family "Bacterial small subunit ribosomal RNA", at positions 355 to 776 of the family's 1533-position model. The record is from RNAcentral. Lineage: Bacteria; Pseudomonadati; Acidobacteriota.